ACAGGGUUUGCCCUAGUAACGGCGAGUGAAGCGGCAACAGCUCAAAUUUGAAAUCUGGCCCUCUCAGGGUCCGAGUUGUAAUUUGCAGAGGGUGCUUUGGCGAUGGCUGUGGUCUAAGUUCCUUGGAACAGGACGUCACAGAGGGUGAGAAUCCCGUACGUGGCCGCCAGCCUCCGCCGUGUAAAGCCCCUUCGACGAGUCGAGUUGUUUGGGAAUGCAGCUCUAAAUGGGAGGUAAAUUCCUUCUAAAGCUAAAUACUGGCCAGAGACCGAUAGCGCACAAGUAGAGUGAUCGAAAGAUGAAAAGCACUUUGGAAAGAGAGUCAAAAAGCACGUGAAAUUGUUGAAAGGGAAGCGCUUGCAGCCAGACUUGCCUGUAGUUGCUCACCGGGGCUCUUGCCCCGGGCACUCUUCUACGGGCAGGCCAGCAUCAGUCCGGGCGGUUGGAUAAAUGCCUGCUACAUGUACCUCUCUUCGGGGAGGACUUAUAGGGUAGGCGACAUACAGCCAGCCUGGACUGAGGUCCGCGCAUCUGCUAGGAUGCUGGCGUAAUGGCUGUAAGCGGCCCGUCUUGAAACACGGACCAAGGAGUCUAACAUCUAUGCGAGUGUUUGGGUGUAAAGCCCGAGCGCGGAAUGAAAGUGAACGGAGGUGGGAACCCCUCGGGGUGCACCAUCGACCGAUCCUGAUGUCUUCGGAUGGAUUUGAGUAUGAGCAUAGCUGUUGGGACCCGAAAGAUGGUGAACUAUGCCUGAAUAGGGUGAAGCCAGAGGAAACUCUGGUGGAGGCUCGCAGCGGUUCUGACGUGCAAAUCGAUCGUCAAAUUUGGGCAUAGGGGCGAAAGACUAAUCGAACCAUCUAGUAGCUGGUUCCUGCCGAAGUUUCCCUCAGGAUAGCAGUAACGUUUUCAGUUUAUGAGGUAAAGCGAAUGAUUAGAGGCCUGGGGGUUGAAACAACCUUCACCUAUUCUCAAACUUUAAAUAUGUAAGAAAACCUUGUUACUUAAUUGAACGUGGACAUUUGAAUGUAUCGUUACUAGUGGGCCAUUUUUGGUAAGCAGAACUGGCGAUGCGGGAUGAACCGAACGCGGGGUUAAGGUGCCCACGCGCCCACUCCCCCCCCCAAAA
Molecule: ribosomal RNA, 1126 nt
Filed under: Westerdykella sp.
Lineage: Eukaryota; Fungi; Ascomycota; Dothideomycetes; Pleosporales; Sporormiaceae
Description: partial large subunit ribosomal RNA
Rfam family: Eukaryotic large subunit ribosomal RNA
Source: RNAcentral